GACGAACGCUGGCGGCGUGCCUAACACAUGCAAGUCGGACGGAUCAGGUAUGACAGCUUGCUGUAGUGCCUGGUUAGUGGCGGACGGGUGAGUAACGCGUGAGGACCUACCCUGGAGAGGGGGAUAACGGCUGGAAACGGCUGCUAAUACCCCGUAAGCCGGAGGGUGAAAGGGAGCGAUCUGCUCCGGGGCGGCCUUGCGUCCUAUCAGCUAGUUGGUGGGGUAAUGGCCUACCAAGGCGAAGACGGGUAGCCGGCCUGAGAGGGCGACCGGCCACACUGGAACUGAGACACGGUCCAGACUCCUACGGGAGGCAGCAGUGGGGAAUAUUGGGCAAUGGGGGGAACCCUGACCCAGCGACGCCGCGUGAGGGACGAAGUCCUUCGGGAUGUAAACCUCUGUUGUGGGGAAGGAAGUACAGUGACGGUACCGUCACGAGGAAGCCCCGGCCGAAACUACGUGCCAGCAGCCGCGGUAAAAGUAGUGUGUA
RNAcentral lists this ribosomal RNA (490 nucleotides) under uncultured bacterium. RNAcentral describes it as "bacterial SSU rRNA". It matches the Rfam family "Bacterial small subunit ribosomal RNA", at positions 28 to 536 of the family's 1533-position model. The record is from RNAcentral.